This 270-nucleotide long non-coding RNA is filed under the name Urocitellus parryii (Arctic ground squirrel). Its description in RNAcentral is "lncRNA (ENSUPAG00010016107.1)". The record is from RNAcentral. Lineage: Eukaryota; Metazoa; Chordata; Mammalia; Rodentia; Sciuridae.
CUCCCCCGCCCCCGCCCCCCGCUCUGCCGCGGGCCCCCGCCCGCCGCGGGCCGAGAGCUCGGCGCGCUCGACCCCGGGUCCCGCCUCCCCGAGGUUUUCGCUUUCGCUUUCCCGCUGAUGUCGUUGGGGAAAAUUAAGCUGCCGAGGCCAGGCUGGCGCAGAAGCCGUUCCUGGCGAGGGGCGCAGAGCACGGCRGCGGCGGCGGCCGGCCUGGAACCCGGGUCCCGCUGCCCGCGCCGGGCGAGGCAGACAAAGGCGAGGAAACAGUGA